AGGCCGCGCCCGCAUGUGAUCCGCCCUCUUUCCCGAAGCUUCGCGGGGCCAUCUGUCGCAGGCAGGCUGGUGCGGGGCUGCACACGCACGUGGCCGCACUGUACCGCACGUGGCGCAAGAUGGCUUGCUCCAUAGGACGUUUUAUCAAGGAUUCGUGUGGGUCAGGUCGCCGUGAUCAACACCACAUGGCAUCUAUAGCAGUUUGUGACGACCAAGGGUGAAAAGAACACGAGCACACCUGAGCUGUCUUGACUUGCUGUCCAUGGAUGUUCACCCUGGGCAUCUGCUGAGAACCAUGGCAGGCGAGGCAUUGACGGCACACCUGGCCUCGACUUGCUGUCCACGGAUGUUCACCCUGGGCCAUCUGCUGAGAACGACGAUAGGAGGCACUGAUUGGUGCUGGUGGUGACGUGGCGCUGCACGCAUACGAGAUGGGAGCACUUGGAAUAAUACACGAAUGUAUUGUUACAAUGUCUAGCAAUUAAUCAACAAGAGCGCUGUUAUUGUUCUUUGGUUUACAAACGUGUUUUGUGUUUAAACAUUUUUAAAUAAAUAUUUUAUGUUUUGAGCA
Petromyzon marinus (sea lamprey) is the source of this 571-nucleotide long non-coding RNA. RefSeq lists it as uncharacterized. The record is from RefSeq and is a predicted model, not a curated record. Lineage: Eukaryota; Metazoa; Chordata; Hyperoartia; Petromyzontiformes; Petromyzontidae.